UCCGGUUUGUCACCGGCAGUCUCGCUAGAGUCCUCGGCAUUACCCGUUAGCAACUAGCGACAGGGGUUGCGCUCGUUAAUGGACUUAACCAAACACUUCACAGCACGAGCUGACGACAGCCAUGCAGCACCUGUGCACGUUGUACCCUUGCGGACCUCAUUGAUGUUUCCACCAACUAAUCCGUGCAUGUCAAACCCAGGUAAGGUUCUUCGCGUUGCUUCGAAUUAAGCAACAUGCUCCACCGCUAGUGUGAGCCCCCGUCAAUUUCUUUGAGUUUCAGUCUUGCGACCGUACUCCCCAGGCGGGAUGCUUAACGCGUUAGCUGCGGCACCCGGGGACUAUAAAACCCCAGACACCAAGCAUCCAUCGUUUAAGGCCAGGACUAC
RNAcentral lists this unclassified non-coding RNA (386 nucleotides) under uncultured bacterium. RNAcentral's name for it is "contains 16S-23S intergenic spacer region". The record is from RNAcentral.